RNAcentral lists this ribosomal RNA (837 nucleotides) under uncultured bacterium. Its description in RNAcentral is "bacterial SSU rRNA". It matches the Rfam family "Bacterial small subunit ribosomal RNA", at positions 8 to 796 of the family's 1533-position model. The record is from RNAcentral.
AGAGUUUGAUCCUGGCUCAGAGUGAACGCUGGCGGCGUAGAUUAGGCAUGCAAGUCGAGCGAUAUCYUUUUYUUGAGAUGUUGAGACCGCAAGGUGGAUAUGUCAAGAGAAGAGGAAUAUAGCGGCAGACUGGUGAGUAAUGCGCGAGUAAUUUACCUCUAAGUCGGGRAUAGCCUUGCGAAAGYGAGAGUAAUACCCGAUGUGUUUACGRYUGYAUAAGCAGYUGUAAGUAAAGGAGGCCCGCAAGGGUUUUUGUUUAGAGAUGAGCUCGCGUCCUAUCAGCUAGYUGGUGGGGUAACGGCCUACCAAGGCKUUUGACGGGUAGCUGGCCUGAGAGGGUGGUCAGCCACAUGGGGACUGAGACACUGCCCCAACUCCUACGGGAGGCUGCAGUCGAGGAUAUUUAGCAAUGGACGAAAGUCUGACUAUGUGACGCCGCGUGAGGGAUGAAGGUCUUCGGAUUGUAAACCUCUUUCGAUGGGGAAGAAAACCUGCUUUAAUACAGCAGACUGACGGUACCCAGAGAAGAAGCCACGGCCAACUCUGUGCCAGCAGCCGCGGUAAUACAGAGGUGGCGAGCGUUACUCGGAUUUAUUGGGUGUAAAGGGCAAGUAGGCGUCUUAACAAGUUAGAAGUGAAAUCCUGCAGCUCAACUGCAGAACUGCUUUUAAAACUGUUGAGAUUGAGUYUGGGAGAGGAAAGCGGAAUUCUCGGUGUAAGAGUGAAAUCUGUAGAUAUCGAGAGGAACACCAGUGGCGAAGGCGGCUUUCUGGYCCAGUACUGACGCUGAAUUGCGAAAGCUAGGGGAGCARACAGGAUUAGAUACCCUGGUAGUCC